GGAGAAGAGAGAGCACGUGACAUACCAUGUCCAGCAACAGGGCAGAAAUGGAAACAGGACUGCAAUUGCUGAUCUUGACUCUAAAAUGGUUCUUUUCAUCUCACAGAAUGGAUGAAGAUUGAUCUUGACCGGAUACUUUUUCAAAUGGAGGAUAGAAGUAACACAAAACAAGGCAACAGCAGCUCUCCAGUGUUUGGUUCAAUGUGCUUUCUUUCUAAAAUAAAAACACCAGAACUGGGAAUGAA
Long non-coding RNA from Budorcas taxicolor (takin), 245 nucleotides. RefSeq lists it as uncharacterized. The record is from RefSeq and is a predicted model, not a curated record. Lineage: Eukaryota; Metazoa; Chordata; Mammalia; Artiodactyla; Bovidae. The transcript is spliced from 2 exons.